This is a non-coding RNA of Ictidomys tridecemlineatus (thirteen-lined ground squirrel), 1219 nucleotides long. The record is from RefSeq and is a predicted model, not a curated record. Lineage: Eukaryota; Metazoa; Chordata; Mammalia; Rodentia; Sciuridae.
GUUUAUUUGGAGUGGGGUGUUUGUUUUGUUUUUGUAGUCUGUAGGAUUAUUUAGUUGUUUUUUUUCCAGAGUGGCAACCUUCUGCAGAGAAGAUUCUUCAGUCUCCUGCACAGAGGACAUAUGCCUCACUGCUAGUGUUUAGAGAAAAAAGGGUUUAGACAUGAGGUGAUCCUCAGUGUUCAGUAUAUGAACUUCAUCUGAUCUUUCUAGAUCAGGGUUUCUCAACCAUUAGCACUAUUGGCAUUUUCUCUUGUGAGGGUCUGCCUGGUCUUGGUAGGACGUUUAGCUGCAUCCUUGUCCUCUACUAUCUAGGUGCCAGUAGUACAUACUCCCCUCUAGUUGUAACAACUAAAAAUGUUCCCUGAAGGACAAAAUCAUUUAAGAAUCAUUGCUCGAGGUAAAAAGUUAACAGUAGAUCUGAGCCCUAAUUUUUCAUGAAAAUUUUUUGGGGUUUUUCCUUUUCUUGGUGUUCUCUCCUGGAAACAUACUGGAUUGGAAUUAAGUAUAGAAUGUCUCCAGAUAAUAGUGUUUAUUACAAAAUGGACCCCUGAUUACUAAGUUUAGGUAGACCAGGAAGACUGUUCGUGAAGAACCAUAUAAGCCUAUGAGAAGAUGCAGAACUUGACUUCCUGGUGUACAGUGUAAUGCUUGUCGAUGAGCAUGAACAUGUCCCUUAGGAGCCCUGGAACUUGUCCUCAUUGGCUGUUAAAAGAUUCUACUGGUUCCCAUGGAGCAUGAAGUUUCUCCGGGCAGUGUGAUUUUUGCAUUUGCCCAUAUAGUCUCUUGUCCUUUAUGAGGAGCUGUCACUUGUGGACUCAAAAAAGGCCCCUGCUGGGUAGUGUGAACUCCCUCUGAAGAUGGUGUAUUUAAUGCUAGCAUGCCAGCAUUCUCUUUUUCUUUCUGCAGAACUGAGUGAACCCCAUACUAAGCAGAGCAACCUUUCUCAUGGCUUCACUGAAAUUUUUUCAUGUGUACCAACUUGGUGUUAAAUUCCAAUUUGACUGGCCUAGUGAAUUUAACAGCAGAAGAAAUAGCUAUCAGAUGAAAGAAGAGACUGAAGAUUUGGUUAAUCUGGGGGAAAAUCUAGUUCACAAGAGCAUUUUUCAUAUAUACUUUCUGUCAGCACUGGCAUAUAUGCUCUAACUCACAUUAUGUGUAUUUCUUGGGAAUCUACAUUUUUCGCUUCUCUGCAGAAAUAAAAUGACUUUAUUUGAUUUUA